Molecule: ribosomal RNA, 253 nt
Filed under: uncultured bacterium
Lineage: Bacteria
Description: partial 16S ribosomal RNA
Rfam family: Bacterial small subunit ribosomal RNA
Source: RNAcentral
UACAGAGGUCUCAACCGUUGUUCGGAUUCAUUGGGCGUAAAGGGUGCGUAGGCGGUCGUGCAAGUCGGAUGUGAAAUCUCAGGGCUCAACCCUGAAACUGCAUUCGAUACUGCGCGGCUAGAGUGCUGGAGGGGAGACUGGAAUUUACGGUGUAGCAGUGAAAUGCGUAGAUAUCGUAAGGAAGACCAGUGGCGAAGGCGGCUCACUGGCUCGGUACUGACGCUGAGGUGCGAAAGCGUGGGGAGCGAACAGG